This is a non-coding RNA of Drosophila melanogaster (fruit fly), 695 nucleotides long. NCBI's taxonomy places the organism in Eukaryota, Metazoa, Arthropoda, Insecta, Diptera, Drosophilidae. The record is from Ensembl.
AAUCGAUAACGCUUUAUACCCUUUGCAUACUGCAAAUAAAACUAAGCUUCUUCUGUUGUUUACUUAAUCAUGGUAAACUAAUAUUUCAAUUGCAGAUUUCUUACUAGCAACAAAUUUAAAUUCUCAAUCGACUUGGACUCUAACUUGACGCUUUAACGCUUUAACUUGAGUUCUCGUCGAUUGUUGCCUUAAUCCAGUCGACGUAGUGCGUCACAUUCGUGGCCACUUCGAAGAUCCUACAGGAUGCAUCCCCGUAGCUGACGAGUCCGAGCAGGAAAGCCCGCUUCUUUAACCCGAAGAGCAGCUUCGCGCUCAGCGGGCCCCCGGAAUCCCCACCGCAGGCAUCGCUGUCCACGCCAGUGGUGCAGAUUUGGGACUGGUCGACUUCGAUGUUGAAGUUGCUGUUGCAACACGAUUGUUCGAGCGCAAGCAAAGUGGUCUCCUGGAGAAUGCGGCUGGGCUUAUAGUCUGCGGUGUGACCCCAGCCAGUGAGGGUGUAGAAGUGAACCUUCUCCAAGGGUUCGGUUUUUCCCCAGAAUUCUGGGGAAUCAGUCAAAGCGAGGCUUCGCUGCGUAUAGCGUUAAAAUUUGCUGAAGAUAAGCUUCGCUUAUGUACAUAAAUACUAAUGCAGAUAUUAUUGACCCGAAUGGCGUCUACGACAGAAGUCAGGGGAGCCAUUAAACCACUCGAGAUAA